AUGAAACCUGUGGACUACCCCUAUGGGGACGGUAAAGGAAAAGCUCCCAUUGGUAGAAAAAAACCUACAACCCCUUGGGGUGGUCAUGUUCGCCACAUGGGCCACUGA
This 108-nucleotide ribosomal RNA is filed under the name Triticum aestivum (bread wheat). RNAcentral describes it as "partial small subunit ribosomal RNA". The record is from RNAcentral. Lineage: Eukaryota; Viridiplantae; Streptophyta; Magnoliopsida; Poales; Poaceae.